Molecule: transfer RNA, 85 nt
Filed under: Felis catus (domestic cat)
Lineage: Eukaryota; Metazoa; Chordata; Mammalia; Carnivora; Felidae
Also listed under: 3 other names
Rfam family: tRNA
About the family: Transfer RNA (tRNA) molecules are approximately 80 nucleotides in length. Their secondary structure includes four short double-helical elements and three loops (D, anti-codon, and T loops).
Source: Rfam by way of RNAcentral
GCCUGGGUGGCUCAGUCGGUUAAGCAUCUGACUUCAGCUCAGGGUAUGAUCUCACUGUUCGUGGGUUCGAGCCCCACAUCAGCUU